Molecule: ribosomal RNA, 370 nt
Filed under: uncultured organism
Description: partial 16S ribosomal RNA
Rfam family: Bacterial small subunit ribosomal RNA
Source: RNAcentral
GUAGGGUGCGAGCGUUAAUCGGAAUUACUGGGCGUAAAGCGUGCGCAGGUGGUUUUGUAAGUCAGAUGUGAAAUCCCCGGGCUUAACCUGGGAACUGCGUUUGAAACUGCAAGGCUAGAGUGUGGCAGAGGGGGGUGGAAUUCCGCGUGUAGCAGUGAAAUGCGUAGAGAUGUGGAGGAACACCGAUGGCGAAGGCAGCCCCCUGGGUCAACACUGACGCUCAGGCACGAAAGCAUGGGGAGCAAACAGGAUUAGAUACCCUGGUAGUCCAUGCCCUAAACGAUGUCAACUAGUUGUCGGGUCUUAACGGGCUUGGUAACGUAGCUAACGCGUGAAGUUGACCGCCUGGGGAGUACGAUCGCAAGAUUAA